Long non-coding RNA from Vitis riparia (riverbank grape), 526 nucleotides. RefSeq lists it as uncharacterized. The record is from RefSeq and is a predicted model, not a curated record. The transcript is spliced from 2 exons. NCBI's taxonomy places the organism in Eukaryota, Viridiplantae, Streptophyta, Magnoliopsida, Vitales, Vitaceae.
AAAGAUUGCCCACUGCAAAUAAUACUAAUGUUUUGGAGCAAAAUUCAAGUAAUUCCAACAUGAUUUUUUCUCAAGAACAAAUCCAAAAUCUGCUCACUCUAGCAAACAGCCUUUCCAGCUCAAACACAAAUUCUAAUGCAACUGCCAAUGUUGCAUCCAUCUCAGGAUCUCAGCAAAUGGAGGAUGAUUGGGCUUGCUGAAGUUCAAUCUGGUUUAUACCAUCUUCAACAAUUAUCUGCUCAAACAAAUAAAGAAAUGCUUUCUAGUUCAAUUGGUUUACCUUCUAGUUCUUUAGUUGAGUCUUGUACUGUUAAUUCUGAUCUAUGGCAUUUUCGUUUAGGCCAUAUUCCAAAUGCAAAAAUACAACUCAUAAAUAGUUCUGAUUCUUCUGUAAAGGCUAUUCAUAACAAAGUUUGUGAGAUCUGUCCAUUAGCUAAGCAGAAAAAGCUACCAUUUCCUAUAUCAAAUAGUCAAUCAAAUAAAGCUUUUCAAUUGGUUCACACUGACAUUUGGGGGCCUUUUUCCA